CACAAGCGGUGGAUGAUGUGGAUUAAUUCGAUGCAACGCGAAAACCUUACCUACCCUUGACAUGUCCGGAAUCCCGAAGAGAUUUGGGAGUGCUCGCAAGAGAGCCGGAACACAGGUGCUGCAUGGCUGUCGUCAGCUCGUGUCGUGAGAUGUUGGGUUAAGUCCCGCAACGAGCGCAACCCUUGUCAUUAGUUGCCAUCAUUUGGUUGGGCACUCUAAUGAGACUGCCGGUGACAAACCGGAGGAAGGUGGGGAUGACGUCAAGUCCUCAUGGCCCUUAUGGGUAGGGCUUCACACGUCAUACAAUGGUCGGUACAGAGGGUUGCCAACCCGCGAGGGGGAGCUAAUCCCACAAAGCCGAUCGUAGUCCGGAUCGCAGUCUGCAACUCGACUGCGUGAAGUCGGAAUCGCUAGUAAUCGUGGAUCAGCAUGUCACGGUGAAUACGUUCCCGGGUCUU
Molecule: ribosomal RNA, 458 nt
Filed under: uncultured Rhodocyclaceae bacterium
Lineage: Bacteria; Pseudomonadati; Pseudomonadota; Betaproteobacteria; Rhodocyclales; Rhodocyclaceae
Description: bacterial SSU rRNA
Rfam family: Bacterial small subunit ribosomal RNA
Source: RNAcentral